Molecule: ribosomal RNA, 393 nt
Filed under: uncultured Mitsuokella sp.
Lineage: Bacteria; Bacillati; Bacillota; Negativicutes; Selenomonadales; Selenomonadaceae
Description: bacterial SSU rRNA
Rfam family: Bacterial small subunit ribosomal RNA
Source: RNAcentral
UGGGGAAUCUUCCGCAAAUGGGGCGCAAGCCUGACGGAGCAACGCCGCGUGAGUGAAGAAGGGUUUCGACUCGUAAAGCUCUGUUGUCGGGGACGAAUGUCAGGACUCAGAAUAUGGGUCUUGAAUGACGGUACCUGACGAGGAAGCCACGGCUAACUACGUGCCAGCAGCCGCGGUAAUACGUAGGUGGCGAGCGUUGUCCGGAAUCAUUGGGCGUAAAGGGAGCGCAGGCGGGAGAUCAAGUCUAUCUUAAAAGUGCGGGGCUCAACCCCGUGAGGGGAUGGAAACUGGUCUUCUUGAGUGCAGGAGAGGAAAGCGGAAUUCCUAGUGUAGCGGUGAAAUGCGUAGAUAUUAGGAGGAACACCAGUGGCGAAGGCGGCUUUCUGGACUGUA